UCUUUAGCAACCUUGGGAGUUGGAUCUGUUUCUGCUGCCGGCACUGGUUUUACUCUCCACCAAAUUGAGCUCCUCCCCACUGUAUUCAGGUCCACACUUUCAGGCAUUGUUUCAGGAUUCCAGAGAACAGGGGCAAUACUGGCUCCUCUCCUGAUGACCUUACUGGGGUAUUCUCUCCGUCUGCCCUGGAUCAUCUAUGGAGUCAUCAUCCUCUUUGCUGGCCUUGUUAUCUUGCCCCUUCCAGAAACCAGGAAUCAGCCUCUUGUUAACACCCUCCAGGAUGUGGAAAAUAAGUAAGCAGAUGCCAUGAUCAUCACCUGAGUAGGAAGUGACCAUG
Molecule: long non-coding RNA, 337 nt
Filed under: Ictidomys tridecemlineatus (thirteen-lined ground squirrel)
Lineage: Eukaryota; Metazoa; Chordata; Mammalia; Rodentia; Sciuridae
Description: lncRNA (ENSSTOG00000030359.1)
Source: RNAcentral